Molecule: long non-coding RNA, 3666 nt
Organism: Neofelis nebulosa (Clouded leopard)
Lineage: Eukaryota; Metazoa; Chordata; Mammalia; Carnivora; Felidae
Exons: 3
Source: RefSeq, a predicted model, not a curated record
CCCAAGGCUGAAGAUUCCUUGAGAGAGGAGCGGACGUGCAAGGAUUCGGCGCCAGGCUCUGCGUGUGCGGUUCGCGGGCUCCGGUUCUGCUCGGGGCUCCUGUAGCAGGUACUUCCAGAACGACCCCCCUCGCUCCCCAACCGUGCCCACGCGGCUCCAAAGCCUUGCGCCCUCCUGCAGUGAAGGGUGGGGGUGUUGGGACCUGGAGUCAGGCCCGAGCUGCCCGCGUUGGAAGCCGGGGGCAGUGGACAGCUCGGCUGGGCACCAAGGGCGCGGAGCCGGGCUGGCCGGGUGGAACCGGGUGGAACCGGGUGGAACCGAAGCCGAGGCCCUCGUGGCCCCGGCCUCCAGGCGGCGUCCUUCCUCGGGCUGUGCCGCACCUCGGCCUUUUGCUUGCGGCCAUCUGUGCGGUGGUGCCCAACGCAGGCCUGGCGCUGGCCGCUGCCCGUGCCACACAGGACCCUUCUCCUAAGGCGCAAGAAGGUAACCUCUUCCCGCGUGGAACCCGCCCCUGCCCGAGUCCCGCGUGCGCUCCUCCCCAGCUGCCUGGGCCUCAGCCGCCCCAGGCCGCGGCUGCUUGCCACGUGGAGAGCGCGGCCAGGCCCCACGCAGGGCACCUCCCCGCCCCGGGCAGCCCCGUGUGGCUGGCUUCAUCCCGCUUCCUGGCUGCGCCAGAUGGGACCCAGCAGGCCCCGCAGACACCCCGAUGCCUCCAUCACCCAGAAACGCGGCAGGGCGCAGAUGCGGAGGGGCCCGCCCUUCCCCGAGGCCGCAGGUGGGGGUGCGGCGGGUAGCAGGACCCCCAAGUGCAGGGGGGCGGUCCACCGCCAGGUCGACUGGGAGCAGGGAGAGGCCGGACCUGGGUGAGCUGCUCCCUGUCACUGAGCAGGGACGGCCUGUGGGCUUGGGAAGCUGGGGUCAGCUGGCUCACACAACCCCUGCUUGACUUUGCCGACCUCUCUGCCUGCCUCUCCUUUGGCCCACUCUUGGGAUUGUACCUCCCGAGAAAGCCUCUCAGCACGUGCACUUUGAACUAGGAAUCCCACAUAGCCGGUGUUUCUUCUUUCUUCUAGAAACCGUAGAAGGUAUUCCCCCAAAUAGGUUCCUGAUGGGAUGUGCCUCACCGAAAUGAGCAAAGGGGCAAGGAGUGAGUGUUUGAGCCUCGCCCAGAAACUGGUGCCCAUGGUUCUUGUCUUUGGCAGACCACCUCCGACCUGGAGAGGGCCUCCUACACAUUCCAGCAACAUCGUUUAGUUUCUAAAUGAGACUAAAGUUUCUUGGGAAAGCAUGUGGGAAGCCACUUUUUUUUUGGGGGGGGGGGGGUUGAGAUGCAUUUGUUAUCUUUACUGGAGAGGAGUCAGAUACAUGGAUAUUUGUUGGUGAUAAAGGGGAACAUUUUGAAGAGUAGAUUAGAAAGGAGGACUUUCUUGUUACGAAAAGUAUCUGCUUUGACCACUGACUAUUUGAAGAGCAUUCUUUUCCCGGACAAAUGUAAUCAUUUACUUAGCAGGGGAACAAGAAAGCCUUUGUAUUUAAAUAGGAAAGUCACCAAGGACACCCAUUAUUUUUGACAUCGAAACUGAGCGACGAGGCAGGAAAUAUCCAGAUUAUCAUGAUGACAGGGAAGAUGUGAUCCAAUAUGUUCGUUUGCUUGAAGGAGGCAGGACAACAUGAGAAUUCAGCAGCGUGGCUGGACAAGAUUUAGAAUUUGUAAUUUAUUUAUAAACAGUGGCUUUCCUGCAUCCGGGAGGCAGGUGGAACCGAGUGAUGCCACAUGACCCAAACUCCAUGUUCCUCUGCUUCCCCACGUGUGAACUGGGUGCUGAUCCCGCUGCCCUCAGAGGUUCCAGGGAGUCACUAUAGUUUGACUCCCCAGUACCUAAUCCCAGGCUCAUCCCUCCAGCCUUCAGUUUUUUUUGGAUUUGCGAGUGUCCAUACUUUCACAGACUUCCUUGGAGGUAGGGUGGCUAUUUGACAUGACACUGGCCAGAGAGAUGGACAAACUCAUAGAUGUCUCCUGGGUUCCUUUCUUCCUGCCUUAAAAAUGGGUGUAAUCCUGGAACUGUGGCACCCGUCUGGCAAGGAGAGAAGAGGUCAAUGUCAGCAACGGCUUACCGCGUCUCUGAGCUUCUCGAGUGUGCAGAAGACAAAUCCGGGUUCGCCUAAGCUACAGCUGGAAUGGCCGAAUCCUGGGUGUGAACAGAGGCAAGAGUCUGUGAUUGAGAGUGUGCGUCCACAGCCUGCUGUGCGACCUUGGGCAAAUCACUUGACGUCUCUGGGCCUCAGUGGCUCGAUAUGACGAUGCUGCUUCACGAAGCUUCUCUGACUUGGCGGCUUCUCAGCACACUCAGGGGAGAAGCCACAUGCUAACCGUGGUCCAUGGGGGUCCACGAAGCCCACCCACUUCUGUCUCUUCAUCUCACACCUCUCUUCUUGUUCCCAAGGUGCCACAAACAGCUAAUCUUCCUUCAGUUUUGUUUUGUUUUGUUUUUUACUAUGUCACUCUGUCUCCCACCCCAGGGCCUUUGCCCAUGCUGUUUCCGCUACCCAAUGUUCAGUCCGGCCUUCUUUCUCCUUCAUGAGAUCCAGCUUCAGUGUCAUCCCCAAUAAGAGACGGGGGUGUGCGGCCCACAUCCUUUCCCAUUUGUACUUCUUGGGGUGGUAGCACCCCAAAUUCCCUCUGUGGAAACAUCCCUCCCACACUCCACGGAGCUCACACGGGGAAGCCACGCCAGGUCCAACAAAGAGAAAGCUGUGAAAGUCUUUCUUUUAGUUUUCCCUGGGGAAGAGCCCUUCAGGCCUCCUAGCAAUGGGGUGGGAAUAGUGGCAUCGUGGCCACACAGGCGGAGCGCUGAGGAAUGAAUGUGACCUUGUGCCCAGGCUUCCAGUAGCUCCUCGCACACCCACACCUUCCUGUAACUGAUCCCGAGCCUCCCGGCACCUGCACAUGGAAACUGAGCCCCUUUCGACGGAUCUGGCAUCUGCAGGCCCCUGUGGGGCGGCCGCCUCCGCUCCGCAAGGCCAGCCCCUCUCAACGUUCAGUUUGCCCCCAGCCUCCAGUGGGUGGUUCCUCUCCCGCCCCCUUUGUCCUUCUUGCCAUUUCCCUGGAGGCGGAGAGAGGAGAAGAGACGACUUAAGGAGAAUGACUGCCCAUCACCACAUCCAGCCACAGGUUGGUCCCCCAGAAGCGCUCGGUCUUCUCCUCUCGGGAGGUGACCACAACCUUUCCCCGCUGUCCUCAGACCACCUCCCUCAUCCCCUCCCUGCUCAGACCCAGGAAGUGACCUCGUGUGCUCCAGUGUCCAGAGGAAAGACCAAUAACCACCCUCCAUUUCCGGCCACUUUCUGCAAGCCAGGAACACCAACUCUGCUUAAUCUACGCGGGAAGGAUUUUACUGAAAGGGUGUUGAGUAGCUCACAGGUUCUACAGCAAGACUGCAGGGCAACAGUUCGUCUUAGAGGAGCCAAAACCAAUGCCUGGUCAAUGGACAGAACCGGUGCCGACUCUGGGCACAGACACUGCUGUUUCCAUCACUCACCCUUCCGGUCCUGGAUCUCGGACACUUCUGCUGAAAUCACAGACGAUGCAUCAUUACCACGCCCACCAGAAUGCUGUCUCUAAGUACCUGCUUCUUUUUAUGACCGGUUUACAACCCAGAACAGAGG